Molecule: ribosomal RNA, 254 nt
Filed under: uncultured bacterium
Lineage: Bacteria
Description: partial 16S ribosomal RNA
Rfam family: Bacterial small subunit ribosomal RNA
Source: RNAcentral
UACGUAGGGGGCAAGCGUUGUCCGGAUUUAUUGGGCGUAAAAGGCUUGUAGGUGGCCACGCCAAGUCGGAUGUGAAAUCUCCCGGCUCAACUGGGAGGGGUCAUUCGAUACUGGCGGGCUCGAGGCCGGUAGGGGGAAGUGGAAUUCCCGGUGUAGUGGUGGAAUGCGUAGAUAUCGGGAGGAACACCAGUGGCGAAGGCGGCUUCCUGGACCGGUUCUGACACUGAGGUGCGAAAGCGUGGGGAGCAAACAGG